UGGGGAAUAUUGCACAAUGGGCGCAAGCCUGAUGCAGCCAUGCCGCGUGUAUGAAGAAGGCCUUCGGGUUGUAAAGUACUUUCAGCGGGGAGGAAGGGAGUAAAGUUAAUACCUUUGCUCAUUGACGUUACCCGCAGAAGAAGCACCGGCUAACUCCGUGCCAGCAGCCGCGGUAAUACGGAGGGUGCAAGCGUUAAUCGGAAUUACUGGGCGUAAAGCGCACGCAGGCGGUUUGUUAAGUCAGAUGUGAAAUCCCCGGGCUCAACCUGGGAACUGCAUCUGAUACUGGCAAGCUUGAGUCUCGUAGAGGGGGGUAGAAUUCCAGGUGUAGCGGUGAAAUGCGUAGAGAUCUGGAGGAACACCGGUGGCGAAGGCGGCCCCCUGGACGAAGACUGACGCUCAGGUGCGAAAGCGUGGGGAGCAAACAGG
This 429-nucleotide ribosomal RNA is filed under the name uncultured bacterium. Its description in RNAcentral is "bacterial SSU rRNA". It matches the Rfam family "Bacterial small subunit ribosomal RNA", at positions 355 to 776 of the family's 1533-position model. The record is from RNAcentral.